Molecule: ribosomal RNA, 460 nt
Filed under: uncultured bacterium
Lineage: Bacteria
Description: partial 16S ribosomal RNA
Rfam family: Bacterial small subunit ribosomal RNA
Source: RNAcentral
ACUACGGGUGGCAGCAGUGAGGAAUAUUGGUCAAUGGGCGAGAGCCUGAACCAGCCAAGUCGCGUGAAGGAUGACUGCCCUAUGGGUUGUAAACUUCCUUUAUAUGGGAAUAAAACAGGGUAUGCAUACCCUCUUGUAUGUACCAUAUGAAUAAGGAUCGGCUAACUCCGUUCCAGCAGCCGCGGUAAUACGGAGGAUCCGAGCGUUAGCCGGAUUUAUUGGGUUUAAAGGGAGCGUAGAUGGGUUGUUAAGUCAGUUGGGAAAGUUUGAGGCUCAACCGUAAAAUUGCAAUUGAUACUGGCAGCCUUGAGUACAGUUGAGGUAGGCGGAAUUCGUGGUGUAGCGGUGAAAUGCUUAGAUAUCACGAAGAACUCCGAUUGCGAAGGCAGCUUACUAAACUGCCACUGACAUUGAUGCUCGAAAGUGUGGGUAUCAAACAGGAUUAGAUACCCUUGUAGUC